This 1346-nucleotide ribosomal RNA is filed under the name Enterobacter cloacae. Its description in RNAcentral is "bacterial SSU rRNA". It matches the Rfam family "Bacterial small subunit ribosomal RNA", at positions 56 to 1433 of the family's 1533-position model. The record is from RNAcentral. Lineage: Bacteria; Pseudomonadati; Pseudomonadota; Gammaproteobacteria; Enterobacterales; Enterobacteriaceae.
UGCAAGUCGAACGGUAGCACAGAGAGCUUGCUCUCGGGUGACGAGUGGCGGACGGGUGAGUAAUGUCUGGGAAACUGCCUGAUGGAGGGGGAUAACUACUGGAAACGGUAGCUAAUACCGCAUAACGUCGCAAGACCAAAGAGGGGGACCUUCGGGCCUCUUGCCAUCAGAUGUGCCCAGAUGGGAUUAGCUAGUAGGUGGGGUAACGGCUCACCUAGGCGACGAUCCCUAGCUGGUCUGAGAGGAUGACCAGCCACACUGGAACUGAGACACGGUCCAGACUCCUACGGGAGGCAGCAGUGGGGAAUAUUGCACAAUGGGCGCAAGCCUGAUGCAGCCAUGCCGCGUGUAUGAAGAAGGCCUUCGGGUUGUAAAGUACUUUCAGCGGGGAGGAAGGUGUUGUGGUUAAUAACCGCAGCAAUUGACGUUACCCGCAGAAGAAGCACCGGCUAACUCCGUGCCAGCAGCCGCGGUAAUACGGAGGGUGCAAGCGUUAAUCGGAAUUACUGGGCGUAAAGCGCACGCAGGCGGUCUGUCAAGUCGGAUGUGAAAUCCCCGGGCUCAACCUGGGAACUGCAUUCGAAACUGGCAGGCUGGAGUCUUGUAGAGGGGGGUAGAAUUCCAGGUGUAGCGGUGAAAUGCGUAGAGAUCUGGAGGAAUACCGGUGGCGAAGGCGGCCCCCUGGACAAAGACUGACGCUCAGGUGCGAAAGCGUGGGGAGCAAACAGGAUUAGAUACCCCUGGUAGUCCACGCCGUAAACGAUGUCGAUUUGGAGGUUGUGCCCUUGAGGCGUGGCUUCCGGAGCUAACGCGUUAAAUCGACCGCCUGGGGGAGUACGGCCGCAAGGUUAAAACUCAAAUGAAUUGACGGGGGCCCGCACAAGCGGUGGAGCAUGUGGUUUAAUUCGAUGCAACGCGAAGAACCUUACCUGGUCUUGACAUCCACAGAACUUUCCAGAGAUGGAUUGGUGCCUUCGGGAACUGUGAGACAGGUGCUGCAUGGCUGUCGUCAGCUCGUGUUGUGAAAUGUUGGGUUAAGUCCCGCAACGAGCGCAACCCUUAUCCUUUGUUGCCAGCGGUUAGGCCGGGAACUCAAAGGAGACUGCCAGUGAUAAACUGGAGGAAGGUGGGGAUGACGUCAAGUCAUCAUGGCCCUUACGACCAGGGCUACACACGUGCUACAAUGGCGCAUACAAAGAGAAGCGACCUCGCGAGAGCAAGCGGACCUCAUAAAGUGCGUCGUAGUCCGGAUUGGAGUCUGCCAGAAUGCUACGGUGAAUACGUUCCCGGGCCUUGUACACACCGCCCGUCACACCAUGGGAGUGGGUUGCAAAAGAAGUAGGUAG